This is an RNA transcript of Halichondria panicea, 2034 nucleotides long. RefSeq lists it as uncharacterized. Lineage: Eukaryota; Metazoa; Porifera; Demospongiae; Suberitida; Halichondriidae. The record is from RefSeq and is a predicted model, not a curated record. The transcript has 13 exons.
CUGCUGAAACAGUAUUAAAAUUAUGUCUCUCAAGUUAAACAUCGACGUUGUAGUCGUGUUCUAUUUUGCUUCUCUGAGUGCUAUCACUGCACAAUAUUCAGUGAGUGUGGAGAGACCAUGUCCAAUGGAAACAGUCACUUUCACUUGCACUGCUGCUGGAGAUUCCUUGAGAUGGAUACCAUCAGAUACCUCAGCUCCCAUCACCGUUCGCAACACCAUUGAUCUCAAUGUAUCACUAAUGCAAUCAGGUUACACUGUGAAACUAACUGCAUUCAAUGACACUAGCUUAACAUCUACUCUAUCAAGAACAGCAGAGAACGGGAUCACUGUGAUGUGUGUGGAGUUUGUCCCUGUAAGCAAUAUAAGAUCUUCAACAAUUAAUUUGGUUGAUGCACCAGGACCACCUUCCAUCAUAAGACACUCCACUCUGAGCAACUCAGCCAAUAAAGUUAAUGUGACUAUUGGUUGGGACCUUCCUGCUGAGACUGGUGGUAGAGAUGAUCUCACCUACUCAGUGACCAUCUCACCUCCGGCCCAGCACUCUGCUACUGUCCUCACAUCCACCUCUGUCACUGUGACUGCUCAAUACAAUGUGAACUACACUGUCGGUGUUGUAACUACCAACUGUGCUGGGAACAGUACAAUUGCUGGGUACAACUUUAGGAUUGUUUCCUGUGUCCUGCCUGCCCCUCCACUAAAUGGAACUUUGCUCAACACAAACUCUCACCUAACUGAGGGCUCAAUCAUUACCUUCCAGUGUGAUCCUGGGUUUUCACUGGUGGGUGCAGCAACUACCACUUGUAACAACUCUGGUCUCUGGAAUCCUGACCUGGCUCUAUUGGAAUGCUCAUACCCAGAAACUGGAAAUGUUGCUGCUGUAGCUGGAGGUGUUGUUGGUAGUAUAGUGAUUGUGGCACUUAUCAUCCUGGUGGUGAUAGUUCUCUUGGUGGUUCUCAGAGAAAAGAGAGAAGAGAGUGUAAGACUUAAAUCAAACGACAGUAUGGAAAUGGAUGAUAAAUUUGAUGCUACAGUGGAGCCGGUAAUCUAUGCUGCCCUUAGCUCCAGCCAGCCCCACAAGAAAAGCAACACGACUGCCACAGUGGACCAUCAUCAGGUGACCUACGCCACUGUAGAUGUCGCUGCCACCUGCAGGAAACAAGCAGCUAAAGCAGCCACCCUCCCCACCAGCCCAACAACCUCAGCCUCGGCAGAUGUGGACAAGCUCCUGGACAUUGACCAGGCCUUGGUGCAGAUCAGGUCAAUGAAGCACAAAUGGAGGGAGCUGGCUGAGACUAUGAGGGUGCCAGAAACAAUGAUUGAACAGGUGGACUUCUACAUCUCCCAGAACCAGGCGGUCAACCAUGCAGUGAGAGAGGCAGCCUGCAUCUGUACUGCAGAGCUGGGCACUAAGGUGAACAAGGAUUGUCUGAAACCAUACAGGGGACGACUGUUCAAUAUCCUGCUUGGAGUGCUGAGUGGUGUUAGACAGAAUAAUAAGUGUGUGUGGUGACCGAGUGUCCUCCCUCCUCCCCCUCUGUGCUGAGACACUCACGACACAGACACUAUCCUCAACACAUCAACCUCCUGGAGACACUGCUCAAACUGAGCAGUGACAAUGCCUGGUGGUGCAGUCUGCUGGAGUGGACUGUCUCACCUCACUCUGUCAGCUGCUAGGGAGAAUGAUCCUCAGAGGGAGAAUAGAACAACACAAUCCAAUGUGAGUCUUCGAAUAAUAUCUAUAUACGUUGCUACAUGACUUAGGCUUGUAUAACCAAUAUUAUUAUGACUUAAGCCAACAACUCAAAGCCUAUAAGACAACUUUCAAAUCAUAUGUAGUGUCAUUCAGGAUUCGUUUGUACGUGUAUGCAUAUUAGACGUUAGACUACAUAUUGGCUGUUUUAGUUGAGAUUGUCUUUGAAGGUGGUUUGACAUAGCGUUCACAGCUUUUACUUUAUGUACAUCACUACAUGCACUGCAUACUUUUUAUUUGGUUUCUUUAUAAAUCAUGUCACCAGCCGAGGGUUUGCACUUUAG